RNAcentral lists this ribosomal RNA (433 nucleotides) under uncultured bacterium. RNAcentral describes it as "partial 16S ribosomal RNA". It matches the Rfam family "Bacterial small subunit ribosomal RNA", at positions 29 to 507 of the family's 1533-position model. The record is from RNAcentral.
AACGAACGCUGGCGGCAUGCCUAACACAUGCAAGUCGAACGAGACCUUCGGGUCUAGUGGCGCACGGGUGCGUAACGCGUGGGAACCUGCCCUUAGGUUCGGAAUAACUCCCCGAAAGGGGUGCUAAUACCGGAUAAUGUCUUCGGACCAAAGAUUUAUCGCCUUUGGAUGGGCCCGCGUUGGAUUAGCUAGUUGGUAGGGUAAAAGCCUACCAAGGCGACGAUCCAUAGCUGGUCUGAGAGGAUGAUCAGCCACACUGGGACUGAGACACGGCCCAGACUCCUACGGGAGGGAGGAGUGGGGGAUAUUGGACAAUGGGGGAAAGGCUGAUCCAGCAAUGCCGCGUGAGUGAUGAAGGCCUUAGGGUUGUAAAGCUCUUUUACCCGGGAUGAUAAUGACAGUACCGGGAGAAUAAGCACCGGCUAACUCCGUG